UUUUGCAUAAUGAGCCUGCGAGUUGUGGUGUCUGGCAAGGUUAAGCAAACGCGAAGCCGUAGCGAAAGCGAGUCUGAAUAGGGCGCUUAGUCAGAUGCUGCAGACCCGAAACGAAGUGAUCUAUCCAUGAGCAAGUUGAAGCUAGUGUAAGAACUAGUGGAGGACUGAACCCAUAGGCGUUGAAAAGCCCCGGGAUGACUUGUGGAUAGGGGUGAAAGGCCAAUCAAACUUCGUGAUAGCUGGUUCUCUCCGAAAUAUAUUUAGGUAUAGCGUUGUGUCGUAAUAUAAGGGGGUAGAGCACUGAAUGGGCUAGGGCAUACACCAAUGUACCAAACCCUAUCAAACUCCGAAUACCUUAUAUGUAAUCACAGCAGUCAGGCGGCGAGUGAUAAAAUCCGUCGUCAAGAGGGAAACAACCCAGACUACCAGCUAAGGUCCCUAAAUCUUACUUAAGUGGAAAACGAUGUGAAGUUACUUAAACAACCAGGAGGUUGGCUUAGAAGCAGCCAUCCUUUAAAGAAAGCGUAAUAGCUCACUGGUCUAGUGAUUUUGCGCGGAAAAUAUAACGGGGCUAAAGUAAGUACCGAAGCUGUAGACUUAGUUUACUAAGUGGUAGGAGAGCGUUCUAUUUGCGUCGAAGGUAUACCGGUAAGGAGUGCUGGAGCGAAUAGAAGUGAGCAUGCAGGCAUGAGUAGCGAUAAUUAAUGUGAGAAUCAUUAACGCCGUAAACCCAAGGUUUCCUACGCGAUGCUCGUCAUCGUAGGGUUAGUCGGGUCCUAAGUCGAGUCCGAAAGGGGUAGACGAUGGCAAAUUGGUUAAUAUUCCAAUACCAACAUUAGUGUGCGAUGGAAGGACGCUUAGGGCUAAGGGGGCUAGCGGAUGGAAGUGCUAGUCUAAGGUCGUAGGAGGUUGUACAGGCAAAUCCGUAUAACAAUACUCCGAGAACUGAAAGGCUUUUUGAAGUCUUCGGAUGGAUAGAAGAACCCCUGAUGCCGUCGAGCCAAGAAAAGUUUCUAAGUUUAGCUAAUGUUGCCCGUACCGUAAACCGACACAGGUGGGUGGGAUGAGUAUUCUAAGGCGCGUGGAAGAACUCUCUUUAAGGAACUCUGCAAAAUAGCACCGUAUCUUCGGUAUAAGGUGUGGUUAGCUUCGUACUAGGAUUUACUCCGAAAGCGAAGAAACUUACAACAAAGAGUCCCUCCCGACUGUUUACCAAAAACACAGCACUCUGCUAACUCGUAAGAGGAUGUAUAGGGUGUGACGCCUGCCCGGUGCUCGAAGGUUAAUUGAUGGGGUUAGCAUUAGCGAAGCUCUUGAUCGAAGCCCGAGUAAACGGCGGCCGUAACUAUAACGGUCCUAAGGUAGCGAAAUUCCUUGUCGGUUAAAUACCGACCUGCAUGAAUGGCGUAACGAGAUGGGAGCUGUCUCAAAGAGGGAUCCAGUGAAAUUGUAGUGGAGGUGAAAAUUCCUCCUACCCGCGGCAAGACGGAAAGACCCCGUGGACCUUUACUACAGCUUGACACUGCUACUUGGAUAAGAAUGUGCAGGAUAGGUGGGAGGCUUUGAGUAUAUGACGCCAGUUGUAUAUGAGCCAUUGUUGAGAUACCACUCUUUCUUAUUUGGGUAGCUAACCAGCUUGAGUUAUCCUCAAGUGGGACAAUGUCUGGUGGGUAGUUUGACUGGGGCGGUCGCCUCCCAAAUAAUAACGGAGGCUUACAAAGGUUGGCUCAGAACGGUUGGAAAUCGUUCGUAGAGUAUAAAGGUAUAAGCCAGCUUAACUGCAAGACAUACAAGUCAAGCAGAGACGAAAGUCGGUCUUAGUGAUCCGGUGGUUCUGUGUGGAAGGGCCAUCGCUCAAAGGAUAAAAGGUACCCCGGGGAUAACAGGCUGAUCUCCCCCAAGAGCUCACAUCGACGGGGAGGUUUGGCACCUCGAUGUCGGCUCAUCGCAUCCUGGGGCUGGAGCAGGUCCCAAGGGUAUGGCUGUUCGCCAUUUAAAGCGGUACGCGAGCUGGGUUCAGAACGUCGUGAGACAGUUCGGUCCCUAUCUGCCGUGGGCGUAAGAAGAUUGAAGAGAUUUGACCCUAGUACGAGAGGACCGGGUUGAACAAACCACUGGUGUAGCUGUUGUUCUGCCAAGAGCAUCGCAGCGUAGCUAAGUUUGGAAAGGAUAAACGCUGAAAGCAUCUAAGCGUGAAGCCAACUCUAAGAUGAAUCUUCUCUAAGCUCUCUAGAAGACUACUAGUUUGAUAGGCUGGGUGUGUAAUGGAUGAAAGUCCUUUAGCUGACCAGUACUAAUAGAGCGUUUGGCUUAUCUUUAAUAAAGCAU
This 2328-nucleotide ribosomal RNA is filed under the name Campylobacter jejuni. RNAcentral describes it as "partial 23S ribosomal RNA". It matches the Rfam family "Bacterial large subunit ribosomal RNA", at positions 606 to 2925 of the family's 2925-position model. Lineage: Bacteria; Pseudomonadati; Campylobacterota; Epsilonproteobacteria; Campylobacterales; Campylobacteraceae. The record is from RNAcentral.